GGUGGCUCAGUGAUAGAGCGCUUGCCUCGCAUGCAUGAGGUCCUGGGUUCGAUUUCUCAGCACCA
This 65-nucleotide transfer RNA is filed under the name Dipodomys ordii (Ord's kangaroo rat). It matches the Rfam family "tRNA". Rfam says of the family: Transfer RNA (tRNA) molecules are approximately 80 nucleotides in length. Their secondary structure includes four short double-helical elements and three loops (D, anti-codon, and T loops). Further hydrogen bonds mediate the characteristic L-shaped molecular structure. tRNAs have two regions of fundamental functional importance: the anti-codon, which is responsible for specific mRNA codon recognition, and the 3' end, to which the tRNAs corresponding amino acid is attached (by aminoacyl-tRNA synthetases). tRNAs cope with the degeneracy of the genetic code in two manners: having more than one tRNA (with a specific anti-codon) for a particular amino acid; and 'wobble' base-pairing, i.e. permitting non-standard base-pairing at the 3rd anti-codon position. Lineage: Eukaryota; Metazoa; Chordata; Mammalia; Rodentia; Heteromyidae. The record is from Rfam by way of RNAcentral.